AUGGCUCCAAAAUCACCUCCAAUUUUUACCAAACUCGAUGUCCUGUGCAAUAUUAUUAUCAGUAUAUUUCAGUAUAUUAUUAGUAUAUCUAUCAUACAUUGUAGUGCCCACAUGAUCUACAGUGUCCUAAGGCAGCUGCUACUGAUUAUUAUAAAAUUUGUAAAUUUGCUCAGAGAGUGGCCAUACCUUUCACAGAAUAUACUAGGUGUCGUUCAAAAGGUUUUUACAUUGAGAACUUCUCUUAUUUAAUAUUAAAGAAAGGAGAGAGACCUCAUCAAUUCAUUGAUGAUAUUCCUUGUCGUCUUUUAUUGCCGACUAAGAAAAGAACUAAACACACAAUAUGUGAACUUUGCUGUCCUAAUGGUAAAGCUGUUACACUUAUCUUCAGUAAAGCAAAGCAAAGAGAAUUAUUGAGGACUACUCGUAA
This is a long non-coding RNA of Amphimedon queenslandica, 427 nucleotides long. RefSeq lists it as uncharacterized. NCBI's taxonomy places the organism in Eukaryota, Metazoa, Porifera, Demospongiae, Haplosclerida, Niphatidae. The record is from RefSeq and is a predicted model, not a curated record. The transcript is spliced from 4 exons.